GUAGUCUGCAACUCGACUACAUGAAGCUGGAAUCGCUAGUAAUCGCGGAUCAGAAUGCCGCGGUGAAUACGUUCCCGGGUCUUGUACACACCGCCCGUCACACCAUGGGAGUCAGUAACGCCCGAAGUCAGUGACCCAACCGUAAAGGAGGGAGCUGCCGAAGGCGGGACGGAUAACUGGGGUGAAGUCGUAACAAGGUAAC
Molecule: ribosomal RNA, 202 nt
Filed under: uncultured bacterium
Lineage: Bacteria
Description: partial 16S ribosomal RNA
Rfam family: Bacterial small subunit ribosomal RNA
Source: RNAcentral